Molecule: long non-coding RNA, 152 nt
Organism: Haliotis rubra (blacklip abalone)
Lineage: Eukaryota; Metazoa; Mollusca; Gastropoda; Lepetellida; Haliotidae
Exons: 3
Source: RefSeq, a predicted model, not a curated record
UUUCUCUAUUGUAUCCGGCGGUGGGGAUAGCCUAGAGGAUAAAGCGUUCGUUCAUCACGGCGAAGACCCGAGUUCGAUUCCCCACAUGGGUACAAUGUGUGAAGCCCAUUUCUGGUGCCCCCCGCCGUGAUAUUGCUGGAUUAUUGCUAAAA